Molecule: ribosomal RNA, 223 nt
Filed under: Escherichia coli
Lineage: Bacteria; Pseudomonadati; Pseudomonadota; Gammaproteobacteria; Enterobacterales; Enterobacteriaceae
Description: partial 16S ribosomal RNA
Rfam family: Bacterial small subunit ribosomal RNA
Source: RNAcentral
GGGCCCGCACAAGCGGUGGAGCAUGUGGUUUAAUUCGAUGCAACGCGAAGAACCUUACCUGGUCUUGACAUCCACGGAAGUUUUCAGAGAUGAGAAUGUGCCUUCGGGAACCGUGAGACAGGUGCUGCAUGGCUGUCGUCAGCUCGUGUUGUGAAAUGUUGGGUUAAGUCCCGCAACGAGCGCAACCCUUAUCCUUUGUUGCCAGCGGUCCGGCCGGGAACUC